RNAcentral lists this ribosomal RNA (682 nucleotides) under Micromonospora sp. RNAcentral describes it as "bacterial SSU rRNA". It matches the Rfam family "Bacterial small subunit ribosomal RNA", at positions 87 to 784 of the family's 1533-position model. The record is from RNAcentral. Lineage: Bacteria; Bacillati; Actinomycetota; Actinomycetes; Micromonosporales; Micromonosporaceae.
GUACUCGAGCGGCGAACGGGUGAGUAACACGUGAGCAACCUGCCCCAAGCUUUGGGAUAACCCUCGGAAACGGGGGCUAAUACCGAAUAUUACUUCUGGCCGCAUGGCUGGUGGUGGAAAGUUUUUCGGCUUGGGAUGGGCUCGCGGCCUAUCAGCUUGUUGGUGGGGUGAUGGCCUACCAAGGCGACGACGGGUAGCCGGCCUGAGAGGGCGACCGGCCACACUGGGACUGAGACACGGCCCAGACUCCUACGGGAGGCAGCAGUGGGGAAUAUUGCACAAUGGGCGGAAGCCUGAUGCAGCGACGCCGCGUGAGGGAUGACGGCCUUCGGGUUGUAAACCUCUUUCAGCAGGGACGAAGCGAGAGUGACGGUACCUGCAGAAGAAGCACCGGCCAACUACGUGCCAGCAGCCGCGGUAAGACGUAGGGUGCGAGCGUUGUCCGGAUUUAUUGGGCGUAAAGAGCUCGUAGGCGGCUUGUCGCGUCGACCGUGAAAACUUGGGGCUCAACUCCAAGCCUGCGGUCGAUACGGGCAGGCUAGAGUUCGGUAGGGGAGACUGGAAUUCCUGGUGUAGCGGUGAAAUGCGCAGAUAUCAGGAGGAACACCGGUGGCGAAGGCGGGUCUCUGGGCCGAUACUGACGCUGAGGAGCGAAAGCGUGGGGAGCGAACAGGAUUAGAUA